AUAAUGAUACACCCGUAUGACACGGCUACUCAUAAGAAUGAGAGGGGUGCAAGUCCCGUGG
This is a regulatory RNA element of Lachnospiraceae bacterium M18-1, 61 nucleotides long. It matches the Rfam family "pemK RNA". Lineage: Bacteria; Bacillati; Bacillota; Clostridia; Lachnospirales; Lachnospiraceae. The record is from Rfam.